GAACGCUGGCGGCGUGCCUAACACAUGCAAGUCGAGCGGGAAAGUUCCCUUCGGGGAGCGAGUACAGCGGCGCACGGGUGAGUAACACGUAGGUAACCUACCCUGGAGUCUGGGAUAACCUGCCGAAAGGCGGGCUAAUACCGGAUAAGACCACGAGGGCUGCGGCCCUUGGGGAAAAAGAUGGCCUCUGCUUGCAAGCUAUCACUCUGGGAUGGGCCUGCGCGCCAUUAGCUAGUUGGUGAGGUAACGGCUCACCAAGGCAGAGAUGGCUAGCUGGUCUGAGAGGAUGGCCAGCCACACUGGGACUGAGACACGGCCCAGACUCCUACGGGAGGCAGCAGUGGGGAAUAUUGCGCAAUGGGCGAAAGCCUGACGCAGCGACGCCGCGUGGGUGAUGAAGGCCUUCGGGUCGUAAAGCCCUGUCAAGAGGGACGAAACCUCGUCGACCUAACACGUCGGCGACCUGACGGUACCUCUGAAGGAAGCACCGGCUAACUCCGUGCCAGCAGCCGCGGUAA
This 518-nucleotide ribosomal RNA is filed under the name uncultured delta proteobacterium. RNAcentral describes it as "bacterial SSU rRNA". It matches the Rfam family "Bacterial small subunit ribosomal RNA", at positions 31 to 523 of the family's 1533-position model. The record is from RNAcentral. Lineage: Bacteria; Deltaproteobacteria.